GAGGAAGGAAGGAAGGAAGGAAGGAAGGAAGGAAGUCCUUCCCUGGAACUACAGAUCAAUGCAGAUCACAUGACCAAGCCAUAAAGAUGAAUGGAAGGCCAAGCAGGCACAGGGUCCUCAGACUGUUCCCCAGGAGAGCCUUUCUCACCUCUCCCCUUGCAGCUCUCCAGCCCCAUCAGCCUCCUGAGCCAUCUCCUCCUUCCAGCUCUUCCUGUCUAUGACAACCAGAUCUCCCUCUCAGGAAUCUCAGGUGCCAUUCUAAGCCCCUUCAGUGAUGAGAAGAAUAAUUCUCGAAGCCUCACUAGAGAGAUGUGUGAGUGACAAUAUGGAACGAAGGCCUGAUGGUGAAGUUUCAGAAACUAGUUCCUGAGAGUGGUUCAUAUGUUAAGCUGAGGUGAAAUUACCAACCCCCUUUAAAUUAUGUCAUGCUACUUCGAUGAUACAUAAAGUUUCUCCUACUCUGCCCAGCUCCUCUUCCUCACCCUCCCUAAACAUUUAUAACAUCAAAAUGAGAUGCUCUGGAAGCCCUUUCAAAGCUACUUCCAGCUGGGUGCGCUGGGUCACGUUUGUAAUCCUAAUACUUUGGGAGGCCAAGGCGUGCGGAUCACUUGAGGUAAGGAGUUCAGGACCAGUCUGGCCAACAUGGCAAAACCCUGUCUCUACUGAAAAUACAAAAAUUAGCCAAGUGUGGUGGCGCUUGCCUGUAGUCCCAGCUACUUGAGAGGCUGAGGCAUGAGAAUCCCUUGAACCAGGGAAGUGGAGACUGCAGUGAGCUGAGAUUGCACCACUGCACUCCAGCCUGGGUGACAGAGCAAGACUCCAUCACAAAAAAAAAAAAAAAAAAAAAGCUACUUCCAAAACCUGAGGGUUUUUAUUCUUUUGUGAAUAACACGAGAACUGGACAUGUCUCUGCAUUCCCGGCAAUUUCUUGAAUUAGCUCAUAUUGAGUGACUAGCUUUUAUGAAAGUUAAUUCCUUGAGCUUAACCUCCGAGAAUCUGCCAAAAAUCUCCCAGACAAGGUGAAGACAAGACUCAUCCUCUCGCCCCAUCCCUAUGUUGCUCUUUGAUAUUUGAUUGUUACACCAGCUAAUUCUAAUAGGAUAGACUUGAAAUCCUUUCCCCCCAGUAAACCUCUAUGCUGCAAGGAAGAGACUCCAAGAUCUAUGUACUCCACGUCUCUCAUUCAAACAUCCUUGGUUUAUAAAUCUCCUAGACCUCUCUACUCCAUUAUAUGCCUCUGCCCAGGUACCUAAUGGAAGCCACUGAAAACCUGAAAAACUCUGGCUUCAGAUCCAUGUAACAGUUCCCUUGAAAAGGCUCCUUUUGCUAAAGAACUGGAAGUAUCCCCUUCUCCAUACCCAGCACAUUGGUUUAUCAUUAUUAUUUGCCACCAGAAAUCUCACAGGCUGUUUGUUCUCUGCCCAAAUUCAUAUUCCAGUUAUUUGUUCUCAGGGCCAGCCCACCCUGCACCUGAGAAAAGGGGCUGAAACCUGCAGGGGCUCAAUCUCUCUCCAGGCAAUUUCCAGUCUCUCCAGACCUGGGUUCCCAUUACAAUGCUUCCCCCUGACAUUCUCUUUACCUCAAACAGCACAACUUGUUUUUCUUUCUCCGGUGUCUGCUCCCUCCUGAUGCAGGAUCCACUUAAGUCUUUCUGAAACUGACACCAGGAUCAAGGGAGGAAAAACCAGGCAGCACAAAGCCUUUGGCAGGCUCCUGCAGCAAGUUCUGUGCUGCCUGCUCCUCCUGAAAAUCCUCUCUCAGCUCUUUCCAGAUGUGCCCCAGACUCUCACGAGCACAUUUCUCUCAAACAGCCCAUCAAUCACUCCAUGAGUGUUUACUUAGUGCCCGCUUCAUGCGAGACAUUGUCCUCUACGCCCGGGAGCAUGCCUCCAUGUGGGAGAAUUGAUUCCUGCCUUCCAGACCUCAUGGCCUCUGCAAGGAAACACGACAUCAGCCAAAGAAAAUACAAAGCCUGGAGAACUCUUUCCAAAUCAGAGGCACAGACUCUGCUAGCUGAAGAAGCUGAAGAUUAGAAUUAAACCUUGAGGAGUAGGUAGGAGAAAGGGAGGGGGAACGAUGCUCUUGAUAGAAGAGCAAGUGAGCAAAGACACAAACAUAUUUGGGGGCAGUAAGUUUAUGACCUGGGCAGGCCGAGGAGACUUUUUUUUUUUUUGAGACAGGAUCUUGCUCCAUUGUCCAGGCUGGAGUGCAGUGGCACCGUCUCGGCUCACUGCACCCCCCUCCUCCCCGGGUUCAAGUGAUUCUUAUGCCUCAGCCUCCCGAGUAGCUGGAACUAUAGGCACGUGCACCACACCCAGCUAAUUUUUGAAUUUUUAGUAGAGAUAGGGUUUCACCAUGCUGCCUAGGCUAGUCUCAAACUCCUAACCUCAAGUGAUCCAACUGCCUCAGCCUCUCAAAGUACUAGGAUCACAGGCGUGAGCCACCACGCCCAGCUCUGAGGAAAUUUUUGAAUGCUGCGCUGGAAAGGUGUCUCAUAGACACUGCCAUCCCUUGUUGAAGCUAACCUCUCUUCAAAAAAAUGGAAAUAAAAUAAGGGGUAGAGGGGGCAGGGCUUCCCACCAACAGGCAUGGCCCUGGUGGUGCUUCUGCCUGGGAAGGUCCAGCUAGACCAGGUGACCCUUCACUAGCAGUUCUAGCCCAAAGCUAUGGUCCCAGUCCUGGGAAGGAGAGCCCUGUGACUUCCCCCAGUCUGCACUUACUCCACAAAUUCCUCUGGAAAGAGCACCAGCCUGGGAAUCAGGGGACCUGGUUCCUGACCCAGCAUUUUCACUAACUAGAUGGCAAGCCACACAGCCUCAUGAGCCUCCAUGUCUGCACAUGUACAAUGACAAUGAAGAGUUUGGAGAAGAUGUACUAAGUCCUUUCUAGCUCUUAGGUGUUAUUUUGCAAUCAUUUCUGUAGCCCACCUUCCAUCAUCCAUUAUUCAAUGGGUCUCAUGGGAGAUCUUAUUUUUCAGUUCCUGGGGUAUUGUGAUAUGGCGAAAUAUAUAUAUUUGGUCUUUAUCCAGUUUCCUGGCAUACAACUCCAAGUCUCCAUAGUGAUGUCUUUUUGUAUGCCAAGGAGUUGACUGGUGGCUGACAGCCCCUAAGUAGCUUCAGAAUGGGGGGUGGUCAUCAAGACCCAGGCUGGAUGAGAGGAUUGGGACUUUCAGCCCCAUUCCCCAGCCUCCAGAGAAAGGAGAGGAGCUGAAGGUUAAGUUGAUCACCAAUGACCAAUGAUUUAAUCAGUCAUGCCUACAUAAUAAAGCCUCUAUAAACACCCAAAAGGACUUCCAUACCAACCCCAACAGGGUUUGAAGAGCUUCCAGAUAGCUGAACACGUGAAGAUUCCUGGAGGGUGGCACCCAAGGAGGGCAUCGAAGCUCCACACCCCUGCCCACCUGCCAUUCGCUAGCAUCUCUUCAUCUGUACCCUUUGUAAUAGACUUUACAAUAAACUCAGUAUUUCCCUGAGCUCUGUGAGCCACUCUAGCAAACUAACUGCACACAAGGAGUGGGCUGUGGGAACCCUGAUCUAUAGCCAGUGGGUCAGAAGCACAGGUAAAACAACCUGGAACUUGUGAUUGGCAUCGGAAGUGGGGGACAUUCUCAUAGGACUGAGCCGUCACCUGUGGGCUCUGAUGCUAGCUCCAGGUAGAUAGUGUUGGAAUUGAACUAAAGUGGAGGACACCCAGCUGGUGUUCGCUGCUGGAAGAUUGCUUGCUGGCUGGUGGGAAGAAACUCCACCCCGCAAACACAUGUCUGGUGUCAGAAGUACUGUGUGACUGCGCUGGGAGGGUGCAGUAGGAAGAAACUGGGCUCGUUACUCCUGUAUGCUCUGAAGGUAUGAUCCUUUUUGCCAGCUUUCUUCCUCUGCCUGCUAUUUCCUGGCUGUCAUCUUUUUCAAAAUUUGCUUUUAAAUAUGAAAAGACUCAUAUUUAUUAUAGAAAAUUUGGAAAAUACAGGAAACACAGAGACAAUAUGGAAAUCAUCUAUAAUUCAAUCAUUCAAAGACAACCACCAUUAACUAUUUGACCUAUAUCUUUCUCAUAGACAGUUGUCCCUCAGUAGCCUGAGGGGAACUGGUUCCAGGACCCCUGUGCAUACCAAAAUCUGUGGAUGCUCAAGUCCCUUAUAUAAAAUGGUGUAGUAUUUGCAUAUAACCUACAUGUGCCCUCCUGUAUACUUUAAAUCAUCUCUAGAUUACAAUAUAAUGUAAAUGCUAUGUAAAUAGUUAUACUGUCUUUUUUAUUUCUAUUAUUUUGUAUUGUAUUGUGUUUUUUUCUGAAUAGUCAUUUACUGCAUAAUGACAUUUUGGUCAAUGACAAACUGCAUAUGUAACGAUGGUUCCAUAAGAUUAUAAUGCAGCUGAAAAUUUCUGGUCACCUAGUAACAUCAUAGCUCUCAUAACAUUGUAGGGCAGUACAUUACUCAUGUGUUUGUGGUGGUCCUUUCAGAGGUAUUCCAGAAGGAGGCAUUGUUAUCAUAGGAGAUGACAGCUCAAUGCAUGUUAUUGCUUCUAAAGACCUUCCAAUGGGACAAGACGUGGAGGUGGAAGACGGUGAUGUUGAUUAUCCUGAGCUUGUAUAAGCCUAAGCUAAUGUGUGAUUUGUAUCUUUGUUUUUAAUAAUAAGGUUUAAGAAGUCAAAAUUAAAAUUAAAGAAUUAAAGAAUAGAAAAAGCUUAUAUUAAUAGAAUAAGAAACAAAGAAAGUAUUUUGUAGAGCUGUAAAAUAUAUUUGUGUUUUAAGCUAAGUGUUAUUACAAAAAAGUCAAAAAGUUUUUUAAAAUUUUAAAGUUUAUAAACUAAAGUUACAGUAGGCUAAGGGUAAUUUAUUAUUGAAGGAAGAAUAACUUUUAGAAAUAAACAGUGCAGCCUAAGUCUACAGUGUUUACAAAGCCUACUGUAGCAUACAGCAAUGUCCUAGGCCUUCACGUUCACUCACCACUCACUCACUGACUCACCCAGAGCAAUUUCAGUCCUGCAAGCUCCAUUCAUGAAAAGUACCCUAUACACGUAUACCACUUUGUAUCUUUUAUAUUGUAUUUUUAUUUCACCUUUUCUGUGUUUAGAUACACAAAUACUUACCAUGGUGUUACAACUGCCUACAAUGUUCAAUACAGUCACAUACUUUACAGUUUUGUAGCCUAGGAGCAAUAGGCUAUCCCACAUAGCCUAGGUGUGGAGUAGGCUCUACCAUCUAGGUUUGUGUAAGCACAUUCUGAUGUUUGCACAAUGAUGAAAUUGUCUAACAAUGCAUUUCUCAGAAUGUAUCCCUAUUGUUAAGUAAUGCAUGACUGUAUAUUCCAUCCUCAGUUGGUUGCAUCCAUGGAUGCAGAACCCAUGGAUACAGAGGGCCAACUGUACAUACAUACUGUCUUAGUCCAUUUUCUGUUGCUAUAACUGAAUACCUGAUACCAGGUAAUUUAUCAAGAAAAGACAUUUAUUUCUUAAGUUCUGGAGGCUGGGGAGUCUAACGUGAAGGUGCCAGCAUCUGGUGAGAGCCUACUUCCUGCAUUAUAAUGACAGAAGUCAUUAUGUGGCAAGAAGGCAAGAGCAUGCCAGUUCAGAUCUCCCUUCUCUUAUAAAGCCACCAGUCCCAUCAUGGGCCCACCCUGAUGACUUUAUCUCAUCCUAGUUACCUCCCAAAGGCCCCACCUCUAAAUACCAUCAACAUAUGAAUUUGGCGAUUAAAGUUUCCAAAACAUUGAAACCAUAGCACAUGCUUUUAGUUUUAGCCAAGUUAGUACCAUACAGCACAUAAAUUAUAUAUUGUUGACAAUUCCACUUCCUGUAUGGACAGACUAGGUUGGUUUUGGACCAACCCUCCCCGAGAACUAGAAAAGCUGGAUAACAUAUAACAAAAUAUGUUUGAAGGCUUCUGAAAAAUGGUCAAAGCAAUGAAACUUUGUGGUGUUACAAUCUGAAAGAGGAAGGAAAUCAAGAGAAAUGAACCUGGAAUUUGGGGCCUCUCUGCCCCUCAAAGCAACAGGUAGAUUCCAUAAGCAAGAAGAGUGACAGGGGACUGAUAAAUCAAUGAGCUUUCAGCCGUCUGGUGAGGCAAUGUAACCAAAAUGGAGGUCAGGAUUCACUCGGGAGGAGGGAUCCUGGUAACACCCCAGGAAUUCUGCUGGGACCCCAAAGGCCUGUGCUCUAGUUAUAAGAGUAAAUCCACCCUCACAAAGAAUGAAGCCAAGCUUCAAAUCAUGUCAAUUCAAUCUAACCUUUGACUAGCUAACAGCCAGAAGCAAACCUUCCUCUGAUGGAAGAUAACAUCACAUAAAACCUCAAAUUAUCCCUACAUUUUUCAAACACUGUUUCACCCUUAAAAAGGUAGAUAAUAGAGAAGGCUAGAGAGCUGUCUUUACUGGGGAAAUAGCUGUGGCAGAUCAUUGCACCAUAGAAUGUGAUUAGAAAAGCAGAUCAAUAUGCAAGAGCCAUAGUUAAAGGCAUCACAGAGCCUAGGAGCCAAUGAAGACUAUACAGGAUCAGAUUCUGGGGAGGGGAAUCUGCAGAGAGGAAGCUGGCGAUCUCUGUCAAUUCUGUGAAUAGGUAAAAAGCUGAGAAACUUUGCCCAGGCAGUGAGUCACUCCCAGGUGAUUGAGAAACCAUCAGAGCUUCAGAAGUCUUACGAGGUGUAAUUGAUUAAAAUUGGAGACUUGAGGACUCUCAAAAAUGUGGUUUGUUUUGCCUCAAUAAGUUGGCUAAAUUCUGUAACUGUACAAGGAAUAUGGCUAAAAUUUCAAGCAGAGAAUUUUGGGCAGUUUUAUGGUGUUGAGGAGAGAAAGAUUAGAAUUUAGGGCCUGCCCGGGGAACAUGUCUCAGUGAACAUUUCAGAGAAUCAAUUAGAAACCCUGGAGGUCUAUGCCCCAGGAUCAGGAGCUAACCAGAGGCAACAAGCUGCACUGGAACCAGAACGACUUCAUCCACCCUCCCAGUUGCUGCUACACCCUGCCUCUCAGGCCCUGAGCUGAAGCAGCACCCAUCUCCCAGGGCAUCAAUGCCUUGGCUACCCAGAGCAGUCACACUCCCUGGUGCUGGAGCUGAAGUGGCACUGUGUCUUCCAGGGAAUUCUUGCCUUGGCUACUCAGGGUAGUCACACCCCCAGCACCUGAGCUGAAGUAAUGCCCUACCUCCCAGGGAAUCAGUGCCUUGGAUGAGCCUGGCAGCUGUACAUCCCAGGGCUGAAUUGACAUGGCACCUUGCAUCCCAAGAAAACAGCAUUGAGUGAGCUGAGACCACCUACCAGGCCAAACAACUGUAGAACCUUGUCUUCUUGGAACUGGACUACCUCUCGCCCUUGACACCACAAGAUUCUGAGCUGCUGAGGCACCCUGCCUCCUUGGAAAGUGGAGCCAUUGCUGUGCUGCUCCAUGUCCCCUGGGGCCCAAGCCACAGCUGAACUCUGCCAUUCCUGGUCCUUGCUGUCUCAUGGAGCCAGGGACACGGCUAUGUUGUCUCAUCAUCCCUGGGUCCAGAGUCACCACUACACAGUGCCUUAUCGUCCAGGACCUGAGUUACUGCUGUGCCCUAUUGGCUCCAUUUCCCAAAUUAUAGCUGUUCUCUGCUCAUGGACCUGAAUCUCCAGAGCACCCCUUCUCCCCUGGAGCUGAGCCAGUGCUGUGCCCUGCCCUUCAGGGUCGGAGUCAGAGCUACCAUCCAGCCUAAUGAGCCCGAGCUGCUGGAGUGUACCUCAAAGCCACAGACACCAGCUUUAUUGACCAUCUGCAUCUACCUAUGCCUCAGAGAGUGAACCUUCACUCCAAGUGCCAGCUGCCACAGUAGGUUUGUGAGACCGUGAGCCCAAACUCAGGUUUUAAAGCCACUCUGAGCACCUGUACCCUGGAACCUAGCACCACUGCAGCCACUUGUGGGCCAUGCCAGACCCAACAUGAGGAGAGAUGCCCUCACCUAAGACUCUUCUUAUGGAGGAAAUGAGAAUGGGAGGACCCUAAAAGCUCUUGCUACUGAGAACUCUAACAGCACACACUUCUGCCACUGCUGUCACAAACUCUGGCAGCCUAGGCCGGUGAGGUGCCCACAGUCAUUCUUGACCUUGACUGCAGCUGAAGAAGCUGCACAGAGACUAUACCACUGCCUCCACUUGGAAUCAGGGCCACCACACCCUGCCCAAACAGCACCUUAAGACCCACCUGCAGGUGAAAGUCUUUACCUACAAAAGACACUCUGUAAAUUUUGGAAGAGGUGACUGUUCCACCAGAUGCACAGACAUCAAUACAAGGAUAAAAGAAACAUGAAAAAGCAAGAAAACAUGACACCACCAAAGGAACACAAUAAUUCUCUAGUGACUGACCUCAAAGAAAAGAAAAUUUAUCAAUUGCCUGAAAAGGAGUUCAAAAUAAUAUUUUUAAGAAAAUUCAGCAAGAUAUGAGAUUCAGGAUACAGAUGGACAACUCAAAAAACUCAAGGAAACAAUUCAUGAUCUGACUGAGAAAUUCAACCAAGAGAUAGAUAUUAUAAAAGAGAACCAAACAGAAAUCUUGUAGCUGAAGAAUGCAAUAAAUGAAACAAAAAAUACAGUAGAGAGAUUCAACAGCAGACUAAAUCAUGCAGAAGAAUCUGUGAACUUGAUAAUAGGUUUUUUGAAAUUACUCGGGGUAGGGGAAAAGGAAAGAAAAUAAAAAAGUAAGAUGGCCUGCCUGACUUAUUGGAUGCCAUUAAGCAAAAUAACUCUUGCAUUACUUAUGUUCCAGAAGAAGAGACAGAGAAAGGGAUAAAAACUUCUUUAAUUAAAUAAUUGCUGAAAACUUCCCAAGUCUUGGGAGAGAUAUAGACAUCCAGAUCCAUGAAGCUCAAAGAGGUUCAACCAAAAGAGGUCCUCCUCAAGACAUAUUAUAACUAAACUGUCAAAAGUAACAAAAUGAGCAUUUUGAAAGCAGCAAGAGAAAAGCAUCAAGUCACAUAUAAGAGAAUCACUAUUAGGCUAUCAAUAGAUUUCUCAAGAGAAACCUUGCAAGCCAGGAGAGAAUGGCAUGAGAAUGGGAUGAUAUAUUCAAAGUGCUGAAAGAAAAAAAAAAAACUGUCAGCCAAGAAUACUAUAUCAAGUAAAUCUGCCCUUCAUAAAUCAAAGAGUGGAAAAGAUAUAGAAAGAAAAUCAGAGUGGAAAAGAUAUCCAAAGUCUAACCAAAUGAAAACUGGAAUGGCCAUCCUAGUAGCAGAAAAAUAGACCUUAAAGCAAAAAGUUACUAAAGUUAAAGAGGAGUAUUUCAUACUCAUAAAUGUUAAUUCACCAGAAAGCUAUCACAAUUCUAAAUCUAUCUGUGUGCGACAACAUAGUUUUAAAAUAUUUCUUUAAAAAAGCAAAAAUUGACAGAAUUAAAGGGAAAGAUGACAAAUUCACACUCGUAGCAGAAGAGUUUAAUAAAUCUCUCUCCAUAGCUGAUAAUGGACCCAAUAAAAUCAGCAAGGAAUGAGAAGAAUGAAACACAUAAUUGGCAAAUGUAUAGCACCACAUGAUUUCUUUCACGUAAUGUUCAAAAACUGGCAAAAUUAUGUCAUUAAAAUCAUGCCAGUGGCUACUUUUCAGGGGGAAAAAAGCAUAGUUGUUGGAAAUGAACAUAAAGGAGAGUUUUUGGGGUACAGGCAACAUUCUAUAAUGUUCUAUUCCUUCAGCCGGGUUGUACUUAGAUGAGUAUGUUCAUUUAGAGAUAAUCAUUGAACUGGUAUAAUCCAAUUUCAAAUGUGUAUUAAAUAUAUUUGUGUAGUUCAAACACUACACAUAGCAAUAAAAAACAAUUUUAUCCACAUAUCAAACUAAGUAAAUCUUGGAAAUUGUGUUGAAUGAAAACACAUAGAUAGAGAUUAAAAAUUUUGUAAAUUAUUUUAAAAUGCUAUAUAUUUUUAUAUAGAUAAAUAUAUGUAGUAAAGGUAUAACUUCUGAAUAAGAAGAGUAUGUACCAAUUUCAGAUAACUCCAUAGUUAUCUAUGGAGCAGUAGGGAAGGGAAGACUAUAAAAGAGGACUCAAUGAUAUAUGCAACCUUUUAUUUCUUAAAACAUUCUUAAGUAAAUAUGGCAAACUGUCAACAUUUGUUAAAUUUGGCUGGAGGGUAUAUGGAUGUUUGUUAUAUUUGCUGUAAUUUUCUAUAUAAAAGAUUUCAUAAUUAUUUGUUUUUAAUACUGCAAAUAUGUUCUCAUGUUAUCAGAUAUUCUGAAAUAGCAAAUUUUAAAGACUUAUUUUUACUAUUAUAAAUAUUACUAUAAUAAACAUCCUUGCCUUAAAUACU
Molecule: long non-coding RNA, 10242 nt
Filed under: Homo sapiens (human)
Lineage: Eukaryota; Metazoa; Chordata; Mammalia; Primates; Hominidae
Description: HSALNT0187327
Source: RNAcentral